Molecule: transfer RNA, 68 nt
Filed under: Fissurella volcano
Lineage: Eukaryota; Metazoa; Mollusca; Gastropoda; Lepetellida; Fissurellidae
Description: tRNA-Cys
Rfam family: tRNA
About the family: Transfer RNA (tRNA) molecules are approximately 80 nucleotides in length. Their secondary structure includes four short double-helical elements and three loops (D, anti-codon, and T loops).
Source: RNAcentral
AUGCUUAUAGUUGAAGGUUUACAACGUUAAAUUGCAAAUUUAAAGGUAUGGUGAGACCAUUAAGUAUU